CAUAAAAGGUCCAGCCUGCCCAGUGACCAUGUUCAACGGCCGCGGUAUCCUAACCGUGCGAAGGUAGCGUAAUCACUUGUUCUUUAAAUGAGGACUAGUAUGAAUGGCACCACGAAGAUUAUACUGUCUCCUUUUUUCAAUCAGUGAAACUAAUCUUCCCGUGAAGAAGCGGGAAUAAAAAUAUAAGACGAGAAGACCCUAUGGAGCUUUAAACUAAAUUACAUUUGUCCACAAACUAUUUUAUUCCAGAAACACACUAUUUAUUCUGACAUCAUGAUUUUAAGUUUUAGGUUGGGGUGACCGCGGAGAAAAACACAUCCUCCGCAUUGAACAAGACAACCUCUUUAGCUAAAAGUUACGUCUUAAAGCAUCAACAAAUUGACAUUAUUGACCCAAUAUUUUGAUCAACGAACCAAGUUACCCUAGGGAUAACAGCGCAAUCCACUUCAAGAGCUCCUAUCGACAAGUGGGUUUACGACCUCGAUGUUGGAUCAGGGUAUCCCAGUGGUGCAGCCGCUACUAAAGGUUCGUUUGUUUAA
This is a ribosomal RNA of 539 nucleotides. It matches the Rfam family "Bacterial large subunit ribosomal RNA", at positions 1844 to 2584 of the family's 2925-position model.